AUACUCACCUGGCAGGGAAGAUACCAUGAUGAUGAAGGUGGUGUUCCCAGGAUGAGGUUUAUCUAUUGCACUCCAGAUGUGCUGACCCCUGCAAUUUCCCCAAAUAUGAGAAACUCGACUGCAUAAUUUGUGGUAGUGGGGGACUGUGUUCUCGCUUUCUCCUG
This 164-nucleotide small nuclear RNA is filed under the name Carlito syrichta (Philippine tarsier). RNAcentral's name for it is "U1 spliceosomal RNA (ENSTSYG00000027624.1)". It matches the Rfam family "U1 spliceosomal RNA". Rfam says of the family: U1 is a small nuclear RNA (snRNA) component of the spliceosome (involved in pre-mRNA splicing). Its 5' end forms complementary base pairs with the 5' splice junction, thus defining the 5' donor site of an intron. There are significant differences in sequence and secondary structure between metazoan and yeast U1 snRNAs, the latter being much longer (568 nucleotides as compared to 164 nucleotides in human). Lineage: Eukaryota; Metazoa; Chordata; Mammalia; Primates; Tarsiidae. The record is from Rfam by way of RNAcentral.